RNAcentral lists this ribosomal RNA (468 nucleotides) under uncultured bacterium. RNAcentral describes it as "partial 16S ribosomal RNA". It matches the Rfam family "Bacterial small subunit ribosomal RNA", at positions 28 to 507 of the family's 1533-position model. The record is from RNAcentral.
GACGAACGCUGGCGGCGUGCUUAACACAUGCAAGUCGAACGGAAAGGCCCUGCUUUUGUGGGGUGCUCGAGUGGCGAACGGGUGAGUAACACGUGAGUAACCUGCCCUUGACUUUGGGAUAACUUCAGGAAACUGGGGCUAAUACCGGAUAGGAGCUCCUGCUGCAUGGUGGGGGUUGGAAAGUUUCGGCGGUUGGGGAUGGACUCGCGGCUUAUCAGCUUGUUGGUGGGGUAGUGGCUUACCCAGGCUUUGACGGGUCGCCGGCCUGAGAGGGUGACCGGCCACAUUGGGACUGAGAUAGGGACCAGACUCCUACGGGAGGCAGCAGUGGGGAAUAUUGCACAGUGGGCGGAAGUCUGAUGCAGCAACGCCGCGUGCGGGAUGACGGCUUUCGGGUUGUAAACCGCUUUCGCCUGUGACGAAGCGGGAGUGACGGUAAUGGGUAAAGAAGCACCGGCUAACUACGUG